UAGGUAGCCUAAUCAGUGGUGUCGUUCGUAUGUCCUUCUAAGCUUUUAAGAGGCUUCUCGACAUCUGAUUUUUGCCAGGGGCUUCAUUCGCUAUUUGGAUUCCCUUGAAUUCCUUUGAUAAAUCUUUAAAGGAGUAUUUACAAAGGAGAUAUACUUAAGUUUGCUAUAAUAUGUUUCCGAUAGUGAAAAGACCGUAGGGAAGCAUUGUGCAGUAUUGAAGAUUUACUAAUUGGAAAGCGACAGAUCCGUUGCACUGAUAAUUCACUACUUCGACGCUGAGUGAAGAUAAUGAAGCGUUCUUAAUCGCUCUGGUAACGAAGCGAAGAUAUUUGAAUGUUGCACCUAGACGAGAACUAUCCUGUGAUCCCGGUAGCGAUUCAUCAAGAACUAGCGCGCACCUGUCAGAUACCCGCAGUAUAUUGCUAAUUGUUCGUUUGAGUUGUCUAAAAUAGCCGGUAAAAGCGCUGAUGCCGCCACAGGCUGCAGCAGCGGCUACAACAAUGGCGCUCGCUUUAUGAGUGUCUCAUUGCUUUUUAAUAUCACCGUGUCGAAUCGCAUCGAAAGAAGCAAACCGCUCCCUCUCUGGGUACCUUCCAGGCUUUGGAGCCGCUAGAAACAGUUGAUCAACACCGAUCAGCGUUGCGCUGAAAAGAGUGAAGCAGAACGUUUGUUGGAACAACUGUGUUUCGACCACAAGUCUCAUGCCAACUAAAACAAGACAAAAUAAAUCGGCACGAGUGAAUCAGCGCUAGCUGAAUCAACGACGAACGCUGGUUGACGCGCCAUCCAGUUGCAGGUCACUAUUCGGCCAGCAUCGGGACACCCCACUACGACGAGAAUACACCCUCGUAUAUGUACCUACAUACUAGGACACAUAGACCGGCAGCGAACUACGCGAAACACAUUUACUCAAUAUUGUAGCCUCGUUCCCUUAGCUUUCCGCCGUCACACACAAGUACUAGUAAGCUCAGUGCACGGAAGAAGGAACAGCGCCAAAAUUAAAGAGCAUAUCCCACCCAAGAGAGGAAAAUACAUGCGAGUCGCGUCGUGCGACGCGGUAAACGUUGCCGUAUAGCGCUCGAGUCGGUCAGCAUCAAUGAUCGUAUCAGUGAUGCCAUGACGAGCUAAUACUUCUGUUGAUUAUUUAAUGCACAACUAAAAGCAUUAAAAAGUCAAGAGUAUAAGCACUGUAAAUGAGGAACGGGGGGUGAACGAAAGAAACGGACGGGGUCAGGUGCGAUAGGCAAAAACAUUGUCGUCGUCGUCGUCGCUGCCAUCGCAGUCUUCUUUCGUACGAGAUGUUGACGGUGAUGACGCGGGUGGCGCUAAUGAUGAAAGCGGGUGGCUUUUAGAGAAACGCGAUCGUGCCACAUAAAGAAACAGCGAUGCGAAAAACGUUGUUGGCUCACUAAUGCGUCUUCGAUGGCGGUGCAGUAAUAGAAACAGUUCACGUAGCGGAUUUGAAACCGUAAGCUAGUUAGCAGUAGAAGUAGCAGCACGUUAUGCUUACCGCUGUCACGAUGGACGCAUCGCAAAGUAGGGUCCAGCUGGCAGUCGGCCGAACCGACUCAGGCCCGCGACUCCAGAGGCAAAUACGGCGGAGGAAAGCAGCAACGGUAAAUAACGUUGGUGUCUGCCCCCUCGCACCGUCCGAGACGAUCAGGGCGGGCUGUUUGAUCACACUGGCGUCGACCUCACGCGGUUACGUGAAUCUGAAAUGGCCAGCCAACUAUAGAGAUAGUCAACGCUUUUCCCACAGCCGAAUACACCACAGUAUCGUGGUGCAAUACGCUUUGUUUGAUUAGGCCGAACGUCCAUGUGUCAAACGCCGUUUGAGCUGCAUGAUCCAAGUUGACGGGACCGAUAGGUUUAUUUGCAAAAUGUCUACCUUAGAGGCGCUGGAGAGAAAUGGCUGUAAUGUUGGCGCGUAGUUGCUAAUUUCGAAACUGCCUCCGGAUCUCCUACGACUGGCUGUCUGUACCGUUUAUCACAAAGCGCCGUAUAGAUCCAUUCUCUAUACAGUCUUGUAUCGUCAUCACAGAGCGACUUACUCAGCCAUCAUUAUUAUCUGUUGGCCUAUUCUUUAUUGCUUUUCUAUCCGGACUAUUUGGACAGAAGGCAACAACUGUAAGCUGGGGUUGAGCGUAUCUAGGUCAUUUCGUACGCUGUCGCCGAUAUCUUCGUACACGCAGGAUAACGAUAAUAUGGAGUUGAAGGUUGGCAGGCGUCUGACGCGACUUGUUGCGGCCGACACGACUCGACUGAGAAACCCCUUAACAGCUGAC
This 2285-nucleotide long non-coding RNA is filed under the name Varroa destructor (honeybee mite). Its description in RNAcentral is "uncharacterized LOC111245420, transcript variant X2". The record is from RNAcentral. Lineage: Eukaryota; Metazoa; Arthropoda; Arachnida; Mesostigmata; Varroidae.